Molecule: ribosomal RNA, 497 nt
Filed under: uncultured bacterium
Lineage: Bacteria
Description: partial 16S ribosomal RNA
Rfam family: Bacterial small subunit ribosomal RNA
Source: RNAcentral
GACGAACGCUGGCGGCGUGCCUAAUACAUGCAAGUUGAGCGAUGAAGAUUGGUGCUUGCACCAAUUUGAAGAGCAGCGAACGGGUGAGUAACGCGUGGGGAAUCUGCCUUUGAGCGGGGGACAACAUUUGGAAACGAAUGCUAAUACCGCAUAACAACUUUAAACAUAAGUUUUAAGUUUGAAAGAUGCAAUUGCAUCACUCAAAGAUGAUCCCGCGUUGUAUUAGCUAGUUGGUGAGGUAAAGGCUCACCAAGGCGAUGAUACAUAGCCGACCUGAGAGGGUGAUAGGCCACAUUGGGAAUGAGACACGGCCCAAACUCCUACGGGAGGCAGCAGUAGGGAAUCUUCGGCAAUGGACGAAAGUCUGACCGAGCAACGCCGCGUGAGUGAAGAAGGUUUUCGGAUCGUAAAACUCUGUUGGUAGAGAAGAACGUUGGUGAGAGUGGAAAGCUCAUCAAGUGACGGUAACUACCCAGAAAGGGACGGCUAACUACGUG